CAGCAGCCGCGGGAAUACGUAGGGGGCAAGCGUUAUCCGGAAUUACUGGAUGUAAAGGGAGCGUAGACGGUUAAACAAGUCUGAAGUGAAAUGCCGGGGCUCAACCCCGGAGCUGCUUUGGGAACUGUAGAACUGGAGUGUCGGAGGGGUAAGCGGAAUUCCCAGUGUAGCAGUGAAAUGCGUAGAGAUGUGGAGGAACACCGAUGGCGAAGGCAGCCCCCUGGGCCAAUACUGACGCUCAUGCACGAAAGCGUGGGGAGCAAACAGGAUUAGAGACCCCGGUAGUCCCUGUCUCUUAUAC
This 301-nucleotide ribosomal RNA is filed under the name uncultured bacterium. RNAcentral's name for it is "partial 16S ribosomal RNA". It matches the Rfam family "Bacterial small subunit ribosomal RNA", at positions 509 to 807 of the family's 1533-position model. The record is from RNAcentral.